AAGGUUGGAUAUCUUCAGUUUUGUGUUCAUUUUGAACAUUGUAUAUUAUAUAUUAAGAUAUAAUACCACAAAGCCAUUGGAUAAUUACAGAAGAUUUAGUUGGAAGGCACCACAGGAUUAGAAGAAGAAAACCAGUAUUUCAUUUAGUAUCCAUUGUUAGCCCCGCCUCGUGUGCAGCACCUCAUAGUUCUACAAAAUGAGUUGUGUCUUCCGCUUUUACAGCUGAGGAAACAAGAGUGUAAGUAGAUUGCCAAGAUUUAUUUAGAGAGCUAAGAUUUAAAUUUGGGGUUUUAACCUGGCCUCUGGAACCCAUUCUCACCAUGUACCCUGUUUUAUUGAAAGCUGGGUAAAAGAGAUUUGAGUCCAUGCCACCAUUAAAAAUGAAAAUGCCUGAUGACUACUUCAGGGUUGUAAAGCUGUGAAUAUACGUUUUAAUUUGAUCUGCAGAAUCUCGUGAUAGAUAGGGCAGGUGCUAAGAUGCUCAUUGGGAUUGGGGUGAGAAGGUAAGAAUCUGAAUCUCAAGAGAACUGAAGGACUUGCUGGAUGUAACAAAGGCUAGUAAAUGGCAGAACUUGGGAGCGAGUGUAAACUCGCUCCUGGUGACUCCGAGCCUCAUAUACUUUCUCACACCUGUCCUACCAGUUUGUUAGAAGUGCAUUUAAAAGAGCCUGGAGAAGUUAAGUGGAAUAUUUCAGGAUUGUAACAUUUCAUAAAAAGGGCCGAAAACUGCGCCUUUACUUUCACUCCCCCGUCAUCCUUUCUAAGCUGACUCCAGCAGGAAGCUGUGUGGAGCUGAGCACCACCUGGAUGAAGUGUGUUAAUAGUUAGGUUCUGAUCUAAUGAUAUUCAGUAACCCAUAUCUUCAGAGUUUAAUUUUCUUAGGGAAAAAAAAAUGAAUGCCCUGCUUAUUUGAACAUUAAUUAUUCUUUUCAGUGGAUUGAUCCUACUUACUGUAAAGCUUUGUUGAUCUUUUGGCUUAUGUCACCAUGUAAUGUUUAUGUGAUUAAUUUUUGUUUGCAUGAAAAGGAGGUUUUACUUACCACAAGAACAUUUUUAACCUCUUUGCUCUAGAGACAUUUGGAGUUCGAUGGAAGUAUCCUGUGUGAAUACCUGUGGUUUUGAUAGUGAUUGUCGCAGGGUGGGUUUUCUUCUUUCUGGAGGCCAACUUUGCUUUUAUGAUGACCUAUUAUCCCUGCGUGUCUGGCUCUGUCUAGUCAUAUGUAUGGAUCUGUUCUUCCUGUCUGGUCCACCCAGGCUUGGGAAGUAACUUGUCAACCCUGCCCUCAGAGCCUGCUUGAGAGGGUUGGCAAACUCUACUGGUCCUGCUGUGAAUCUCUCAGGCUUGCGAGGGACGACAGAUGGUUGAGCUAAACUGGGAGCCACCCCUCUACGUAAUGAUGAAAAAUGACCAGCCUCCUGGUAAGUGGAAAUCAGGACCAUGCACCUUUUAAUUCUAAUAAACAGGACUUUGAAACAAACAGAGUGAAGAAGGAAGAGGAAACCCUUCCAUAAGUAACCUGUCUUUGUUAGUACUCUUUGUACUUAUUAGUAGGAAAGAUCUUCACGUAUGUAUAUACUAUUGUAUCCAUGUAGUCACUACACAUAGACUGCUGGGACUGAAAAGUAAUCCCGUGUGCCCUUUUGGAUAUAAACAAUCUCUGUAAAAGCCAAAAAAUGUGAGGCAGAUUACAAACAUGGAUGCAGAAUUGCUUUCUGUACUACAUGAGCAGCAUGGGGCCCACUGUUCUUAUGGCUCCUUCCAUAGGUAUCUGCCUUUCCCAUAACUUCAGCUGAAGUUGGGGCCCUCAGCAGCCCUUGAGGCCCCUGCUCUUGUACCUGGCCUCAGUUAAUUGAACCAUUGCUACCUAACUCAGCCGACAACCAAUCUGUAGCCUAGACAAUGAGUGACUUGGACCAGUUACAGAGAACAGAAACAAGUUAAUAGAAGGGAAAGCAGGUAGGCAGAGUAGCUGUGUCAGUAAUAGUGAUACACAGGAGUGAAGACCCAUGAACUUGUGCUGCCUGGCAUCCUUCUAGUUACUUUGGCUCCACUUAUUGUCUCCCUGAAGCAUGUUUUUGGGCUCUUAUCCUUGUCUUCCACUUUACCACUCAUAUCCUUAUGAUGACACUCCCUUGUGUGAGCGGCCUUACAUGAAUCUCAGUCCAUGGUCAAUAUAGUUUCAUAGUUACAAGUGAAAUUAGUCCCUGGAGUCAGCAGCUAAGCUUCAAUAACAGCUUUAUCCGUUCCAAACUGAUGAGCUCUUGUAAGUUCUUUAAUUUCUGAAAGCAUCUUUAUUCUUCCUCUAUAAUAUGAGACAACAGUACCUACCUGAGAAUGCUGGAAGACUUAAUAAAUAACAGAUGUAACCAUUAACAUAAUGCUUGGUACAUGCUCGAAAGAUGUUAGCUGCUGCUGUUAUUAUUAUUAAUAUGUGAUUCUGUUGGGGCCUUUCAACACAUUAAAUGAUGCAAGGCUUUCUUUUGUUUUCCCUAAGCCCGUUGGAACUCUAACCAUUGACUUGAUCACUGUCUACACACCUGAGGCUCUUUUCAGCUGCUCUGUUUCUGAGAGAAACAUCUAACCUACAAAGGGAAUCCCCAAAUCUCACAAGUCUCAGAUUACUAAGGGAUUGUCAUACCUGGAUAAAAUCAUAUUUAUAUGCUGUCUUCCUUAAGUGUAUGCCCACUUUAAAUGUCUCUCUGCCAACUAAUUAUAAAAGGGAAAAGGAGUUUAAGACGUUCCAUUCUGUUUUCCCAAAUGACUGUUGUUGCUCACUGAAAUGCACAAACAUGCUACAGUCUUUUGACCGUAUCUCUUCUCUUUUGAUGACCAGCAUGCUCUAGGUUCUCUCCUGCUGGCACGUGGACCAGGAGAAGUUAGCAGAUACGGUCUUCUUUCUCUGGACGGUUCACCUUUGGCUCAGUGCCCUACAGCUUGUAUACAGGAAAGAGAAGUAAGAAGUAGUUAUUUAAGAGAACUUCCCCACUGUCUGUGCUGUGACCUCCUUCUCUGACAGCCAACUUUUUAAACAAGCAUCUUAAUAUUUCAGCAGAUGGUGCUAAGGUUUGCUGAAACAGCCUACAGUAUUCCCAGUUUGUUCCCACAUUUCUGGAUUCUUUGUAAUUAGCUCGCAACAUGCGUGAAAGUGAGCUCAGAUGUAACCUAAACCCAUGGAACUUGGAAAAAGAAGCAUCUGCCGAGAGGAGCGGGGUUGAUCUUGAUUUGCUUUCAGGGAGUUGCCACGGAGGUGAGCUUUAUGAGAUUAUCAGUGGCUGGAAGUCAUCGCAGCUGUGUUGUGUUGUCUGUCCUGGGUGCCCAUUUGCUUCUAGUUACAAAUCAAGUAUUGGUUUUCAUUUAUAGAGACCUAUGUCAAUUUUGUUCCCACCCUGGUUAUCAUGAAGUCAACUCUGGUUUUCCUGGUUUAUUAUUUGCCAUGGUCUCUGUUCCUACAACUUGUGCCUGUGUCUGGGGACCUCACGUAGAAGGUGUUACAAUUUUAGAAAAAUACUGAGUUAAAUUUUGUAAACCAAUAGUAUAUUCUUAAGAAAACCUUGUAAGGCUGAAUUUAAGCCAAGUACUUCACCGUGUUAGGAUCAGUGAUAUUAUUUUCCUAAUGUUUCAGCUACUUAUACUUUCUUUGUCUAAGAAACAUUUAUUUUACAACCCACGGAGCAAUGCUGGGGAUGUAACUAUUUCUUGAUUGAUUCCUGUGGCACAGCAUCGUCUGCAGAGACCUGCAUUAUGUGAAGCAGCAUCUUCUUUCCCCUUGAUGUUGAAACUGGAUGAAGGAUCUUGUCAGGCUCACAGGGAUUGUCUCCUGGCUUGAUUCAGCUCUUCAGGCCCUGGAGAUGAAGUUCUGUGUCAGGCACCAAGCAUCUGUAUGCGGUAGGCAGCUGGAGGUCACUCUCUUGAUCACCUCUUGUGUGGACAAGUUUUCUUACAAGCAGAAGCCCAUCCCCAGGCAUCCUCUAGUGCUGACUGACGAGAUAGGAGCAAAACUCAUGCAACCUGCCUUUCAGAUGCAAAUAGAACAUUCCUAAGUCCUUUGAGGCACUCUGCCAAUGUGGCUCCUUCCAUUUUGUGGCUCUGCCGGUCUUCUUGAACACAUGGCUCCUGAGGCUGGGGUAGAGACAGCUUCUGGUGGCUGCCCAAGUUCUUGGCUUGUGGCUGCAUCACUCCAGUCUCUGUGACCACAGGCCUUCUCUUGUGUCACCACGUUGCCUUCUGCUUCCCUAUUAUAAGAACACACCUGACUAUAUCUAGAGUUCACCCAGAUAAUCCAAGAUAAUCUCCCCAUCUCAUGAUCCUUAAUCGUAUCUUCAGAAUCCUUUUUAACAUAUAAGUUCUAGUUAGGUGAAAACAUAGCUCUCUAGUAGUUUGCUGCACAUUUCCUGUGAAAGUGAAGAUUCUCCUUUCUUAAUGAAGAGCAGCUCAUAUAUGAUGACAAAACAGAGGCAAGAGAGCAUAUGUUGGAGAACCUGGCGUUCUAUGUCAUGAGAGAAUGAACCAGAAUGGGGCAUAUGCUUCUAACCUGAAGACAAGACUGCAGAAUUGACUAUAUACACAGUCCUGUGUCACUUAAAGACAGGGAUACAUUCUGAGAAAUGCAUCAUGAGGCAGUUUCAUCAUUGUGCGAAUAUCAUGGAGUGUCCUUACACAAAGCUAGACGGUAUACACCUACUACAUACCUAGCCUCUAUGGUAUAGCCUGUUGAUCCUAGGUUACAAACCUGUACAGCAUGUUACUGUAUUCAAUACUGUAAGCAUUUAUGACACAAUGGUAAGUAUUUGUGUAUCUAAAGAUAUCUCAAGAUAGAAAAGGCACAGUAAAAAUACGGUAUUAUAAUCUUAUGGGACCACCAUUUUACAUUCAGUCCAUUAUUGACCAAAGCAUCAUUAUGCAGUACAUGACUGUAUUUGUGUAAGGAAAUUUAAAAAUAAAAAGGUAUGUUUGGAAACAGAUUAAAAGAGGGAUCAUAAAGUGCUGAAAGGACUCCUGUUUGAACCCUGAAAUUUCUCUAGCACUGUUCCUAAACUUUUGGGGUCACUGGCCAGUUAAUAACUGUAGAAAAACCAGAGAGCAUGUACCUUCUAAAUGUACCUACACAUGAAAUUAUGCAUACAAUUUUGGGGAUUCACAGAAAAGUCCUUAAAGGUCUAUCCAUGUGAUUGCUCUCAAUAUGUAUGAGAACACCUGGCCUGAGUGAAAAUUCUCCAUCAGGAGGCUUCUCCCCAUGGCGAACAUGGAGUUAGAGGUUGAAGGCUGAGGAGGAGUUUUGUAGGUAGAAAAGAGAGAAAGAGGCCAGGCGCAGUGGCUCAUGCCUGUAAUCCCAGUACUUUGGGAGGCCAAAGUGGGCAGAUCACUUAAGGUCAGGAGUUCGAGACCAGCCCAGCCAAUAUGGUGAAACCCCGUCUCUACUAAAAAUACAAAAAUUAUCUGGGCAUGGUGGCACAUGCCUGUAGUCCCAGCUAUUCAGGAGGAUGAGGCACAAAAAUUGCUUGAACCCGGGAGGCGGAGGUUGCAGUGAGCCGAGAUUGCACCACUGCACUCCAGCCUGAGUGACAAGAGUGAGACUUGGUCUCAAAAAAAAAAAAAAAAAGAAAAGAAAGAAAAAGGAAAGAGAGAAAGACAUUGCAGUAGAGGGGAUUUCAUGUAUGAAGUUACAGAAGGGUGAAAGGGAAUAGUGGAGUGGUCUCUGGGGAAGAGCGAAGGGGCGGGGACUAGAUGAAGAACAGUUUUUUAUGCCAUGCUAAGGAGUUUCACUUUGUCUUUAGACAGAUAGUAUCAAAGUGCUCAGAUAUUUACAGCGGAAUGAGGCUAAUGGAGGUCUUGAAGCACCUACUAGAGUUAUAAUGACAGCAGCUACAUUUUAUGAUGUAUAUAUAAGAUUUGGUUUGAAUUAUAUAGCUCUAAAAUGUUGGGAAAAUGUUAUAAGCAAUAGACACCAGAGAAGAAUUUUAAACAGGAGAUUGACUUGAGCCCAUUUGUAUCUGAAAAGAUGCCUAAAGCACAAGAACGCCAGUGAGUAAGUCCAUAUGAGUCACAUCUCUAGCUCAGCACUGUCCAUACUUUGCGCAGUGAUGGGAGUGUUUUGCAUCUGUGCUGUCCCAUGCAGAAGCCACUGGCCACACGUGGCGACCGAGCUCGAAAUGUGGCCAGAGUGAUGGAAGAGCUGAAGUUGUAAUAUUAUUCAAUUGUAAUUAGUUGAAAUCGCUAUGUAUGGCUACAGCUACUAUUUUAGGCAGUGCAACUCAGUGGUCUCCUGUCUCCACAAAGGAACGUAGCCCUACUCAUACCUUGAUCGUAGCACACGGAGACCUGUGUUAGGCUUCAGACCUGUGGAACUGUAAGAUGAUGCGUUUGUAUCAUUUUAAGCCACUGUGUUUGUGGUAAGUAGUUACGGCAGCAGUAGAAAAGUGAUGCAGUUAUGAAUCUAGAGUGGCAUCAUUAAAGGGGCUUUUGGCAAACAUUAUUUCAGGUUAAAAGUUACCAACUGAGCUAAUUUUUUGAAAAAGUUUAUUUUUUUUAUUAUCUGAGUAGUAUAUGGGCGUUAGACAAAAUUUGGAGAAAGCACAGGACACUAUAAAGAGGAAGAAAGCCCUUUUCAGAGGUAGAUAAUAAUGUUUGGAUAUAUUCUCCCUAGUUUUUUAAUUGUAUUUUUGUAGUGGAGAUGAUAAAGAGCUAACAGUUAUUGAGUGAUUAUUAUGUGUUAGUCCCUGUUCUAAAUACUUCACCGAUAUUAACUCAUUUCAUCCUCAUUACAAUCUAUGAUGUAGGCACGGUCUUCCCAUUUCCCAGAUGAAGAAACUGAAGCAAAAAGAUACAUCACUGGCUUAUCUGAUUAGACACAGCAGAGUAAGGCAUCUGCCCCAGGCAGUAAGUUUCGGAGCAAGGAUGAAUUCUAUGGUAUACUGCCCGUAUUCUGAAUAUAUGACUUUUAAUCUUGAUUCCUUUCACUUAACCCUUUAAAUUCAAAAAUUUCUCAUGUUAUUAACAACUCUUAACUGUGGUUUGCAGAUCAUGUAGGUGGUACAAGUGUCACCAUUUUCUUUUUGCCACAUUUAUGCCAAAAAUUAUAAUGACCUCUUUAUCAUUGAGAAGAGGUAUGUUAGAAAUAGAAACUCUUUAGCUUAAAAAUGAAGUUAGCAUAAGGCUAGUUUAUUAAUAGAGAUGGAGGGUGUGGGAGCAAGUGUCAGAUACAUUUGUAAAGUUAUUUACUUGGAACUUGAAGCUAAUUUUUCUGGAAAGUAAUAUGAUACAUAACUGGACCUUCAGUAGCCCCCAUCUUCCCACAUACCUAUUUUCCCUGCAAAGUAAUGGAAAUAGUAAAUGCUGUUAGUAUGUUGAGGUUCAACCCAAGAGCUUAUGUGUAAGGGAAAAAAAAUACCCCCUAGGGAGUGCAACUAUAAAAUUAGUAUAAAAUUGAUCAGAACAGAGAUAUGCAAAGUUACCUUUAAGAAGCAAAAUAGCUUUGGGGCCUAUAAGAAUGUUACUCAAAGAAGGGAAACUCAGUUCUUAGCCCUGGAAGAACUGAGAAAUUAGCCCCUUGAACAACCACUGGCAGCAUCCCCAGGUGGUACUACAUAUUGUAGAGGGAGCUUUAGCCAAUGACUGCUGAAAGAUCUGUCUCUCUGGAAAAUAGAUGCAUCAGCCUGUUUUAGGGAGUAUAGCUAAAAUCAGCUAACUCUCUUGUUUUAUUUGCAUACUCGCCUAAUAACUUCUGGUUAAAAUUGGGCUUCUUAUAUAGAUCUACAGGGAGACAUUUCUCUGGUUUUGUUGCCACAAGUAUUACAGCUCUGUCAUAAUUAUGUUUAUUAUUGUAAAUUAAAAGAUAGGUGUUGCAGUUCUA
Molecule: long non-coding RNA, 7850 nt
Filed under: Homo sapiens (human)
Lineage: Eukaryota; Metazoa; Chordata; Mammalia; Primates; Hominidae
Description: HSALNT0351442
Source: RNAcentral